RNAcentral lists this non-coding RNA (29 nucleotides) under Rattus norvegicus (Norway rat). The record is from RNAcentral. Lineage: Eukaryota; Metazoa; Chordata; Mammalia; Rodentia; Muridae.
UUAAAUAGAGGGCAAGAAGUGUACCUAGC